This 8752-nucleotide non-coding RNA is filed under the name Cordylochernes scorpioides. The record is from RNAcentral. Lineage: Eukaryota; Metazoa; Arthropoda; Arachnida; Pseudoscorpiones; Chernetidae.
ACAAAUCUCCCAAACAUUUCCAUUGUCCCGUAAGGAAAACCUCCCGCUGUCGGGAGGGAAAAAGCUCACGGGAGCCAUGUUAUAAAGACACAAAAAAAAAAAAACUAAAGAGAGGAGAAGUAGGCAUCCGGGUCGUUCCAUAAAGGCGCCUUCCAUCUUGCUCCUCCCAAAAGAAACUUGAAGAAGAAAAAAAAAAUCUGCGCAAACUACGUGAGUUACCAUGAGUGAUUACCAAAAACACACAUAUAUAAUAUGCUUGAGUAGACAGAGUUUAAUGGGGGACCAAAUAAGCUCUCAUCUGGGACCGGCUGGGCAUGUUAGGUAGAGACAUUGGGUACUGACAGACGCUCACUUGAUGAGAAACCCAACGAUCCAAUUCCAUUCAGUUCUCUCAAGUCCAAGAGCUAAAAGCUCUUCUUAACGUCUGUUUCUAAACGCUUUCAUCCUAUCGACAUGUACAACUUUCACAUCGUGCAUGGUGACCCCUCUUACUCUAAAGUUAACAUCGGAGACCCUAGCUUCCACACGGAAAGGCCCAUAGACGUUGGAGUAACCUUCAGUCUUAGGAACAGUUAGCAUUACCAGGUCUCCUUUGUCGAAACUUCUGGUGUAAGGUGGCCUAGGAUUCAUAAGCUUUUUAACAGAAUUACCUGACAUAAACUGUCUGACAGUUUUCUUUGCUUUCCGCAUCACCCUUAACCUCUCAGCCCAAGUAGGCUUUCUAAAACUAUAAACAGACCCAGCGCUACACUCACACUUUAUGUUAAACUCAGUAGGUGGCAACUUUACAACCUCGUUUUCAAUGUGUACCACUGAUUUCUCCUCUAAGGAGCUUGAAACCAUUGGUUUAUGCGCACUGGCAACGUAGCUAAGGUCUAUAUAAUCACGGUCUUCUGGUUUCAAGGAAAUCAUGUUGCCACGUUCCCGUAUUGGGGGUAAUGGGAUAUUCAAUCUCCUAAUAUCAUUGAUUCCCAGAAUCCCGUCGUAGGCCUUAUCUCUGAGCGGCAUUAACCAGAACAUUACCUCUCCCAGCUCGCUGCCGUUUUCGUUACCAACUCUACAGGUUUUAACACGUGUAAGUGUCUGCUCGUGGCCUGUCACUGAAACCAUACUUAAAAUUUUAAGUGCAUCGUCCCAAUUCUCCUUCAAGACCUUGCACUUUUCAGAAUCAAUAAUACUGACUUGGCUUCCUGUAUCAUAUAACAGGUGCCACAUAUUGCCGUUAAUAUUCACCUUAACUAUUGGCAGAUUUCCAUACGGAUCUCCGCCAUAUGAACGUAUGUUCACUAUCUCGGCAUUGUCAGGAGUAUUGCGGUUGGCAAACAUAGAAGACUGUCUUGAGCAAUCACUAGCUAUAUGUCCUAAUCUACACUCAGGUGGACUCAGCCUGAUUUCGCCCAACAAUUUAGUCAGUUUUUCUAUCUCACCUCUAAGAUCUGCAAUACACUGCUCAUUAUCGUGCUUCAUCCUGUUUACACUGGAACUAAGCAUCUUCAUCUCACCCUUAAUGCUAUUUAUUUCUUUAACCCCUUCUACUGAACAUACCCCUUUCAUAAAGCUGCAACGGUGUUCUACACUAUCCUCCGUGGCCAUGACACUGACUGUUUUGUCUAUUGAUUUAGCCUCACUGCGAACAAUAGCCUCUCUAUACUUAUCGAGCACAUUUUCGAGGAAAAUUUCGAACACUAGGCUAUCGUCAAAACUGUACUCUACUUUAUCUCUAAUGGCCAGGAAUCUUUCUUUAAAAACCAUAGGACUUUCCCCAACUCUCUGCUUAAGACCUUCUAUUAAUUUAAGGCAUUCCCUAAUACCACGCGCUUUCUUAGGGUACAAUAUGUUCAGUUUACUAGAAAUACUUUUGAAACUGCUAUCGUUACGGAUACCCAUCUCCUCUAAGCUUACCCUAACUUCAGGGGAUAAAGCCUCGAACAUGAGCAAUGCUUUGACCUCAGGAUCCCAUUUGCCUACUCGAGCUUCAAGCUCGACUUCCCGAAUGAAAGAUUCUAGAUCAACCCCAUUAAACACUGAUAAGUUUAGCAAAGAAUUCGCGAACAUGAUGGAGUACAAAAAAUAAUAAUAAACCACUCAAUCAAAGAAAAAAAACGCACGUAAAAAUUACAGGAAUUUACACGUGCAAAACACCAGUAAUCCUGGCAGGCUCGCCAAUGACAAAUGUUACUUUGUACGGGUUAACACACAAAUACAAUAUACUAGGGCCUACAGUAAGAGUAACUUAAGCACAGAAAAAUCGUGGACUCAAAAGUACAACACAAAAAAAAGUAAAUAAUAAACCACAAUUCGUUAAAUAAAAUAAAAAAAAACAGUACUUAGCUUUAUUGCUGCUUAGGUAGGGAUCGGACCGGGGUUACACAGGUAUGCGCCGAGAUUGCCAGACAGGGAUAUAGCACGCAGAGAACACUUUAAGCGUCCCCACACGAUAUUCCACCACACUGGCUUCGACUCAUACCAUGUGUUAAAUUUCACUCCCUCCGCUGUAAGCUUUCGGACAAGCUUUUUCGGAGAACAUACACCUGACAUCACAAGGUAAACCUCCAGCUGCGGCUGAAUUUGGUAGGCCCGGAAGGCUGAGAGGGCACCGACAGAGGGAAGUGGAAGCCGGAGAGAGUUGGCUAAGGGUCGUGGCUGAGGGGAAAAGGCUGUGCCAAGUACACCAAGUACAGGCGGCAAGUAAAUCUGCUGAAAACUUUAUUAGUUAGUCACAAUCAAGUACAGGGGGGGAAGUAAAAAGGAUCNNNNNNNNNNNNNNNNNNNNNNNNNNNNNNNNNNNNNNNNNNNNNNNNNNNNNNNNNNNNNNNNNNNNNNNNNNNNNNNNNNNNNNNNNNNNNNNNNNNNAUGGGUACAAGUGGCUAUUUACAAGCAGAAGGGGUGGGAAACAAUGGGAGGUAGGUGGAAAGGAUGGCAAGUGGGCAUGAUGAUGAAGGGGUUACAAGGUUGGGUUGGCACAUGGGGUUCCAGGGGGGAUAUUUACAGGGAGACAGAAAGGGGGAUUAGGCAAAAAGUUACAAAGAGUCAUCAGAGGAUGGACAAUUCUCAGGCACGAAUCUACCACAGUUGUUGCCAAAAUCACAGGCAGAACGCCAGAGAGAGCUGGAUGUAGCAAAAUCAGAGAGGGUGGUAGGAAUCCUACCGGCAAUGGACAGGCAGGAAUGAAACAAGGUAGCCCUGAGGUCGUGAAGGUGAGGACAGUUGAAAAAGAUAUGGUCUACUGUUUCCGGAGCGAGAUGGCAGUCGGGGCACGUGACAUCACGCAAGAGGUCCCUUCUCCUAUACCUGUAGGAACCAAUGAAGGAGUGGCCUGUGAGAAUACCGGUGAUGAUUUGUGAUGAGGGGUGUAUAAACCUAUGUUCGUUAAGGAGCGAAAGAGGGGAGAUAUUGAAGACCUGGAAAAUGGUGGGGUUUUUGUCACGGAAUUCAAUAUCCCAGCGGUCCCAGAAGCUGCGCGAGGUGAACCUGUGCAGGUGGUUUUGGGAAGCCAAGGAAUAUAGUGGGGGCGAUGAUGAAUCUGCGGCGGCGGAGCGCGCCAGCUGAUCGGCUAGGCAAUUACCUAAGAUCCCUGCAUGGCCUUUGACCCAGUGUAGGGUGAUAGAUCUAUGGGGGAGGAGGGAAAAGAGCAACCUCUGUAUCUUGAACACCAGAGGAAACCUUGUAUCGAGGUUGGGGAUGGCGUGUAGAAGGGAAAGGCAGUCCGAGAAGAUCCCAACCGAUAGGUUAGGAGGAAGGGUGGAGACGUCCCGUAGCGCCGUGAGGAGGGCAAAGCUUUCGGCCUGAAAAACGCCGCAGUGAAUGGCAAGAUGUAGGGAGAGGGACAAGGGUGGAAUCCCAAGGGAGGAAGAGGAAAUUCUGGCGACGCCUGAACCAACCCCCUCUUUGGUUUUGGAGCCGUCGGUGAAGUAACAGACGUCAGGUGCACUAGGAGGGUGGGACGGUGGGAGAGAUCGGGAAGAAGAGGUGGAGACGGGUAGAGGAAGGGAGAAGGUCUCCUUUCGACCUGGAAGGGCAAAGGCUCGGGUGGGCGCGAUAGCGAAGAGAGAAGCAAGAUUUUUAGGUCGAGGGGAAGGAUCCUAAGGAGAGCUAUAGCUGCCAAGAGGGGAACGGUCCGGAAUCCACGGAUAGCGUGGAGGCAAAACUUCCGUUGUGUUGAACGGAGUUGACUCCGGCCCGCACUGGUCUUGACCGCAUCUGCCCAGAUCGGAGCGCCGUACGUAAUGGCGGGUUCAAUGGCCCCAAUGUAUAGUCGUCGGCGGGCGUGAAACCCGAGGCCUGAGCGGGCGUUGGAGCAACCCUUGAGGCGGCCUAGAAUGGACAGGGCACGGUCGCAUACCCAUUGGAGGUGGGAGUCGAAGGUGAACCUAUCAUUGAAGACCACCCCGAGGGCCCUUAGCCUAUCCGUCCAUGGGAUAACAGUAUCCUGUAAAGUCAAGGAGGGAGGGUUAGUAAAGAUAGGGAGGACCUCACUUUUGUGAGGAGUGAGGGUCAGCUUAUUGUCCAGACACCAGUCGGAAACGAGAUUGAUGGAGAGCUGGGCGCGGGAGGUCAGAAUGCCUGGGGGACCUGACACUACGAUCUGAAGGUCGUCCGCGAAUGCCUGUAUAUGAACGCCGGGUGGGUAGGGAAGGGAUAGGACAGGGUUGAAGGCAAUGUUCCAGACGUGGGGGCCACUCCUAGAUCCCUGGGGGCACCCUCGGGAGGGAAGCUUAGAAGAAGAGCAGUUUUUGUAAGAAAGGGUAACUGUACGGUCACUGAGGAAGGAGUGGUAAAGGGUCUGGAGGGUGGGUGGACAGGCGGCGGCGGUGAGCUGAGUAAGGAAGGACGGGUGCCAUAGGUGGUCAAAGGCAGACUUGAUGUCGAGACUGAUGAGGAGGGCGCAUUGGUUGGAACGUAUGGACUCCGAAAUUUUGGUCUUUAGUUGGGUGAGGGCGUCCGCAGCACUUCUCCCUUUCCUGAAACCAAACUGAUUGGGGUGGAGGAGACCGUUGGAUUCAAAGUGGUGCGAAAGUCGAAGGGAGAGCAUGCUCUCGAGGGUUUUACCCAGGAUAGGGAGGAGCACUAUCGGGCGGUUUUGGGAGGUGAAAUCCUCACCACUCAAUUUCUUGGGGACCAGUACAACUCGUCCUACUUUCCAGAGCUUGGGGAAGUGGCGAAGAGAAAAGCAUUUGUUAAAGAGGUUGAAGAAAAAGGUGGAGAAAGAGGAAAGUAGCCAUUUGGCGAAUUGACCGGGCAUCAAGUCAGAACCAUGGGACUUUUUAGGAUUGAGGACCCGUAGGGCAAGGUGGAAUUCUAGAGUAGAAAAAGGGAGAUCAGGUGGGGGAGGGGUAGAGGGAAUAGGGGGGGAGGGAAGGAAGUGGGAUGGGCGGGAAUUUGGAGGAGGCUCUAAAAAGUAGACGUCCAAGAUGUCCUUGAGGUUAGCAUUAACGUUCUGUUGGGUAGUGAGGGUUUCAAACCUCCUUGAACAGAACGGGUUACGCACGGAGAACCCUCGAGCGACAUAGCGGUGUAUAGGACCCCAAGGAUUAUGGGUGAAUGAAGAGGUAAAUUCCCUAAAGUGCCUUUUCUUGGCAUUGAGGAUAGACUUAUUAUAUUUGUUUCGGAGUCUUGCGUAAUCCUCGCGGUAGCUUUCGCGGAGAGGAGGAGCGACGGUUUUCAUUUUUCUGCCAAGUCUCCUUGAAAGCGUCUUCAAUCUCUGAAGUUCGGAGUUCCACCAGGGGACGGGGGGAGGGAAGGAGGGGAGAGGAGUUUUGGGGCUGAGGUUCUGGGAACAAGAAAGAUGUAGAAGAGAGUAGAGAAGAUCGAUGAGUAGGUCCAGCGAGGCCGCCGAGUCACAACUAUCUAGGGCGGUAGAAAGAGAGCUAUCGGGGGAAAAGAUAGAAUUGAGGGCUAGAAGGAGUCUGUGAGGGGGUGGGGAUUUAAGGUUGAAGGAGGAAAAGUCAGGGAAUAGCCUAGGAGGAGGGGAAGGGGGGGGACCGAGGUCUGGAACAUCUAGGCUAAAGAAGAUCUGGAAAUGGUCAGAAAGGGCACACUCCUCUGCCUUCCAUCCCGAGACGGCACCGGAGAGGUGGUUGGAGACGCAAGAGAUGUCUAUAGAAGACUCCCGUGAUCCGAGGCGGCGGGUGAUGGUUCCCACCCGGUUGCACACGUAGAGAUGCAAAGUGUCUAGGAGAUCAUUCACAUGAUCCCUUUUCCGGUUGGGACGCCGGAGGCUCCAUCGGGCUGAUUCAGCGUUAGCGUCGCCCGCAAGGAUAAGGUUGGGAGGAGGGGGGGAACCGAGGAGGGAGGAAAGAGAUUCAGUAGCACUGAGGAAGUUUGAGUUGCAGGGGAGGUAAAGAGAGCAGAUAGUAAGAUGAAAGUUCGGAAGGUCGACCACCGCAAUAGUGCGGUUGACAGUAGAAAUUUUGGGAAGGAAAAGAAUAGGGAGGUUAAGAUUGAGAACGAUAAUGCAGGAACUACAUUUGUUGUUUAGAAUAGGGGCGUGGAGAUAGGAGGAAGCGGGGACAGGAAAACAGGCAGGGAUUCGUCCAGAGCGAACAGGGAGUUCCUGGAGGAGAAGGAGGUCGAUCCCGGAAGAAAGAGCAGUAUGAAUAGAAGAAAAGAAGCACGGAAUAGACCUAUUGCAGUUUCGCUGCAGGAAGGAGAGCUUCAUUGUAGGCUGUUUUUAGAGUGGAAGUCCUCCUCGACUUUUUUCAGUACUGGGCAUUUUAAGGAGUCAGCCCGAUGUUCCUGUUGGCACCUGAAACAUUUAGGUUUCUGUGCGGUGGACGGACACUCACUCACGCUGUGGUUGUUGCCACAGUAGAGGCAUUUGGGAGACCCUUUGCAAACAGGAGCUUUGUGACCGAUUUUGCCGCAUUUACGGCACGGGAAGGUGGCCCUGGUCUUGGCGAUUGAUAGGAUGGUAUAUCCGAAGAAAGUCUUGGCCCUAUUGUGGAGAAGGGAGGCAUUGUUGGGACCGACCUCAAAAACAGCGUGUUUAGUAUUGUGGUCUGUGCCUAUUGUACGGAUCAAGCUGCACUUGUUGUCGGAAUUUUCGAGGCCCGAGAGGAAGAUGUCGGUAAGAGAGCUAUCUGGGGUAUCAGCUGGAAUAUCAAAGACCGUGAACCUUGGGUGGAAAGUUGGCGGGCGGAUGAGAUCGAGUUCCAAAUUAGAGGCUAAGGGAAUAACUUUAUUGGUUAGGGUAGCUAGGUCUUCCUUAUUUUUGGUGUGGAGCGUUAUUUUGGAAUUGGUCGCACUCACAUAGAGAAUGGGGACACCUAAGGAACGCAAGGGUUGAAUAGAACCAAGGCGGGAACCUAUAGGAGUCGGGACCUCUGCUUUUUGGGUUAGGGUGAUGUGAAAAGGGUUAUUACGGGGGGGAAUGGGGCGGAUUUUAGUUGGCCUAGAGUUAGUAACAGCAGCCCUGGGUUUAGAGGAGGUGGAGGGCGGGGGUUUGUGGGCAAUGGUGACUGGGUCGAUGGGGGGAGUGUUGGCAACAACUGUGGUAGUAGGUGUUACAGGGUUAUCGGGCAAGGUGCACACUUUAGGAGUAGGGGGGAGGUGGGUAGAGGGAUUUGGUUGGGCGGCCAAAACCAGUUGGGAAAAUAAUUGCAAUUCAUGGAUUCUAUGGGUGUAGGCAUAUUUAAGGGUGGCAAUGAUUUUUUCAAGUUGUUGGUAAACAAAAGAACCAAGUGUGCCGUCUGUGUCACCGAUAUGGUGACACAGCAUUGUACAGUUUUUGGUCGCCCAAUCAAAUGCCUGGUAUAAGGGUGUUGGUUUGGAGUUUAAAGGGAAGGGCAAUGAGAGUGGGGGAGCUGUCAGUGUGUAGUUACUUGGUGACAGAUUUAGGUCCUGUUCAGAGCUUGGUGUGGCUGAUGGAGGAUGGAUAGGGGUGGAGGAACUUACCCCAGGCCGGUUGCUAUGGAUGAGGUUACCUCCGAAUGUUGGGUCCAUUGCGGAGUCGAACAUUCUGUAGACGACUUCAUCAGAGGCUGGGCUGGGGAUGGGAGAAGAGGAGUCUUGGGAGGAAGACUGAGAGCCCCCAGGAGAGAAGGAGGCGUCGGAGGGAGGGGGCGGAGGUGUAGUCUCUGGAGGGAGCGCUGAGAUGGGGGCACGUAACUGGGCAGGCCUUCUGUUGGUUGUCUGACGGCGGGUGGGCCCACCGGCGGGCGGGCGGCUGUUGGGGGGCGUGCUGGCAGGUGCGCGGCGAUGGGCGGAGGAGCCGCCGCUCGGGGGGGAGGGCAAAGGAGCCAGCUUGAAAGAGAGAUGAUGUUUCCUCGUCUGAGGGGAGAAAGCAAUUGGCGGUGUGCGGCCGCUCAGGAGAACCCGCGUUUUGAUUUGCUGCGGGCAAAAAUAAAUUCCGGGAGGGAGGAUCGGCGUUUGGCGGCCGUUCAGGAGGUCCGGAAUAAUAAUUUAACUUUUUUCCUCGUUUGGCGGGGUGCCCAGGAGGGUAUUCAGGUGGAACACACACAGUCGCAGGGGCACAGGAGCGCGGGGGCACUGGAGUACAAGAAGUCUCGGGCGCUGUAGAGGUGUGUAAAGAGGUAAAAUAAUUUUCCCUAUUUAGCAACCUUGAAUAAACUGACACCACCAGAAAAAGUGAGUGCCCUUACUUCAGGCAGUAUCCCUGUGCCUUACCACGGGUGGGGGGUCACAAGGGACUGGCAAGAAGCGAUCCUAAUUCAAGGGAAGCUUUUGACUCCAAGAGUAUCCAGGAAUCCUUACCACUGGUGGGGGGAAUAACUAGACUCGCUGAAGUUAUCGA